AAAAAAAAAUGAACUCACUUUUCGGCCACAAAUGUUCACUUUUGUUAUUUGGUUUAUUUGUUAUUUGGUUUAUCUUACAUAACUUUACCACCGGUUAAAACUCAAACUUUUUAAAAUAGUAUAAUUGACUUCGACUUACCUCAAACCUGUGAAACAACCGUUGUAUUCUAAAAGAAUAAGUUGUUAGAAAACGGUGUUUAUAUAAUUUUAUAUUUAACACUUUCUCAUGUCUAGGCUCAAAACUUUUUGCAAAGUCCAUGAUGUGGAUUUGAAUUAAAUGGGAGGAAAUUAAUAAUGUUAGAAGCCCGGCACGACUUGAUAAUAGAAUUAUAUAGAGAAACUUCAGUUUCACAACUAUAUAUGCAAAUAGACAGCAAAAAAAAAUACAAUUUUUAUCUGAACUUUAAUUCAUCCGAAAAGCUAUUUUUAUCUAAACCUCAU
This 441-nucleotide long non-coding RNA is filed under the name Ananas comosus (pineapple). RNAcentral describes it as "long non-coding RNA (ACOM_LNC027560)". The record is from RNAcentral. Lineage: Eukaryota; Viridiplantae; Streptophyta; Magnoliopsida; Poales; Bromeliaceae.